AGUGAACGCUGGCGGUAGGCCUAACACAUGCAAGUCGAACGGCAGCACAGUAAGAGCUUGCUCUUACGGGUGGCGAGUGGCGGACGGGUGAGGAAUACAUCGGAAUCUACUUUUUCGUGGGGGAUAACGUAGGGAAACUUACGCUAAUACCGCAUACGACCUACGGGUGAAAGCAGGGGAUCUUCGGACCUUGCGCGAUUGAAUGAGCCGAUGUCGGAUUGGCUAGUUGGCGGGGUAAAGGCCCACCAAGGCGACGAUCAGUAGCUGGUCUGAGAGGAUGAUCAGCCACACUGGAACUGAGACACGGUCCAGACUCCUACGGGAGGCAGCAGUGGGGAAUAUUGGACAAUGGGCGCAAGCCUGAUCCAGCCAUACCGCGUGGGUGAAGAAGGCCUUCGGGUUGUAAAGCCCUUUUGUUGGGAAAGAAAAGCAGCAGGUUAAUACCCCGCUGUUCUGACGGUACCCAAAGAAUAAGCACCGGCUAACUUCGUG
RNAcentral lists this ribosomal RNA (492 nucleotides) under uncultured bacterium. Its description in RNAcentral is "partial 16S ribosomal RNA". It matches the Rfam family "Bacterial small subunit ribosomal RNA", at positions 29 to 507 of the family's 1533-position model. The record is from RNAcentral.